CAAAGAUUUGGUCCCGGUCUUAUUAUCAGCUCUUCCUAAACUUACACAUGCAAGUCUCAGCACACCCGUGAGGAUGCCCUUUCUCCUAAACCAGGGUAAGGAGCUGGUAUCAGGCACAAAACUUGCCCACUACACCUAGUCUCACCACGCCCUCAAGGGCCUUCAGCAGUGAUAAAUAUUGUUUAUAAGCGACAGCUUGACCCAAUCAUAGGAAAGAGAUCUGGCCAAUUCGGUGCCAGCCGCCGCGGCUAAACCGUUUGAGUUCAAGUUGAUAAACAUCGGCGUUAAGCGUGAUUAAAGACUUACUUAAUUAGAAUAAAAUCUACACUCAAUUGUUAUAACCUUGUUGUAAAGAAAACCAAAAACGAAAGUUAUUCUAAUCUACUUGAACCCACGACAGUAAGGACACAAACUGGGAUCAGAUACCCCACUAUGCCUCACCGUAAAAUAUUAACUUACACCAUCAACGCCAGGGUAUUAUGAGCCUAGCUUAAAACCCAAAGGACUUGACGGUGUCCCAUCCAACUAGAGGAGCCUGUUCUAUAAUCGAUAAUCCCCGAUCUACCUAACCCUAUUUUGCUAAUCAGUCUGUAUACCUCCGUCGCAAGCUUACCAUUUGAAUGUUUACAGUAAGUUCAAGGGUCUCAAACACCAAUACGUCAGGUCAAGGUGCAGCUUAAAAUAGGGGAAGCAAUGGGCUACAAUUUCUAACAUAGAACAUACGAAAUACUGCAUGAAACACAGUUAUGAAGGCGGAUUUAGCAGUAAAAAGAAAGUAACGUGUUCUUUUUAAUAUGGCUCUGGGGCGUGUACACACCGCCCGUCACCCUCUUCAAGUUUCUAUUUUAAAGUUUAUAACAACCCUUAUACUACAAACUAUUUUGCGAAGAGGCAAGUCGUAACAUGGUAAGUACACCGGAAGGUGCACUUGGAUCACA
Molecule: non-coding RNA, 938 nt
Filed under: Limnonectes blythii (giant mountain frog)
Lineage: Eukaryota; Metazoa; Chordata; Amphibia; Anura; Dicroglossidae
Description: 12S ribosomal RNA
Rfam family: Bacterial small subunit ribosomal RNA
Source: RNAcentral